RNAcentral lists this long non-coding RNA (27652 nucleotides) under Marmota monax (woodchuck). The stretch from base 18400 to 18468 matches the Rfam family "tRNA". The record is from RNAcentral. Lineage: Eukaryota; Metazoa; Chordata; Mammalia; Rodentia; Sciuridae.
UACUUCCAUUUCAUUUGUUUUCAGAUAAAGAUGAAUGCUGUGUGUCAUGUAACACUGAAGUUUUGAAGUUGGAAGACAUUUGCUAAAUCAAAUCACUCAAGUAAGUUGACUCACACCUAUCUUAGCAAUAGCUCAAGAUUUAAAAACAAGGGACUGGGUUGUAGCUCAGCAGUAGAACGCUUGCCCAGCAUGUGUAAUAUACUGGGUUCUAUCCUCAGCACCACAUAAAAAUAAAUAAACAAAGAUGUUGUGUCCUUCUGCAACUAAAAAAAUUGUUUUAAAAAGAGAAAAGAUUUAAAAACAAACAAGUCCACCACCUUUGACGCUUCCUUAAUAAUAAAAUUUUAUGGAAUAUCUUAUAGUGAUCUUGUAUAUUGAAUAAGAGGUCUUCGACAAUAGUGGAAUAACAAUUUCAUAUUACAUUUUAUAUGUUUUUAAAAAUAUAAUGUUUAGGGGCUGGGGUUGUGGCUCAGUGGUAGAGCACUUGCCUACCACUUGUGAGGCCCUGGGUUUGAUCCUCAGCACCACAUAAAAAUAAAUAAAUAAAAUAAAAUAAAGAUAUUGUGUCCAAUUACAACUAAAAAAUAAAUAUAUAAAAAAACAAAAUAACAUUUAAAAAAAUAUAUAUAAUGUUUAAACACAUUGUAUUAUUUUUAAAGGGAGACUACCACCUCAAUUAUCCUUGUAUUUGUAGCAAGUUCUAGUCAUAAAGUCUUAACCAAACAGCUAAACAGUGCUUUUAAAAUGGUUUUUCUUUUGAAGCUAAUAUUUUGGUUUUUAUUUUUUAAGUUUUCAUACAGUUUUUCUUAAUGAUUUCUACAUUAUUAUAAAAGGAAGUAAUUUAUUAACCAGCUAGCACAUGAACCUUAAAUGUUUAUUUGGUCAAAAACCUCGCUUGAAAGAUUAUCUUAACCAACCUCAACUUUUAAAAUCAUCUCUUCAUGAUCUUUCUGUAUUCAUUCUCUUUCUCCAUCUUGUAUUCUGCAUAAAUCUGCAUAUAGAAUCACUUUAAUAAUUCAGUUCCUUUGCCUGGCAUUCAAAACUCCCUACCAUGCUCCUAAAACAUCCCCCAGUUGAGCCAACUGGAGUCUCCUAUUCUCUAAACUCACAUAUCCUUCUUUGUCCUUAAAUUGUACUAUUUUUCCUACCGGAAAAAUGAUUUUCUGCUUUUGCUAUUUCCUUUGCGUCUUAAAAUCUUCUACAAAUCUCUCCAUGAAGUCUUCCUAGGUACUCCAGUUAGAAAUACUAACUCUUUCCAUCUCUCUGCUGACUGCGUCUAAUGUUUUGUUUUUUAUCACUAUUAACAGCAGCUUUAUUUGUGUCUCUUAUAGCUCCCAUCCUAGGUUGUAAGGCUGUAUAAAGUAAAAGAUCAUGUCUGAUGAAUUUUGUCUCCCACAGUACUCAGGAUAGCCUUUAAUAGUGUUCAGGAAAUAUUUGCUUAAAAAAUUAAGAAUGUGCUUGGCUUUCUUCCCAUCAUCCCCUCUUUCAUCCUAUAGAUAUGUACUGUCCAUGUUAAUGCCAAUUUUCAUUCUUGUAGUCCAUUCCUGGCUGCCCUUAGUAAGAUACAGUCAUUCCCCAACCUAAGAAUAAGCUAUAUUCCAGAAGUUCAUAUCUUAAUUCAAUUGUUUAGAAUGCAGAAAGCAUUUUUCCACAAAAACAGUGCUAUAAAUAUUGGUUUGAUUCUCAGCCAGCUCUCCCAAGACUGUUUAACUCAUAAGUACCUGUGCUACUUCAGUUACAGGUAGACUCCAUGUAUAAUGAUGUUUUGUGUCAUUCUGGAUAUGGAAGUAUGUCUCCCAUGCACUAGAAACAGGACAUGAACCUGCUGAGCUGAGCCAGAGCUUCGGUAGUGAUUCAUAUUAGAUACUCUUCUACUAGUAGCUUUUUCGUUUUCGGUAUUUGCAUUAUAGACAUUUACCUACAGUUUACUAAUACCUUUAUGUCGUCUAAAUUGAGAGGAAAAGAGCACUUGCUCUUCUGAACCUCCCCAUAGUGAGUUAGGAUGGGGCUUCAGCUGGCCUUUCACAUUGGUGGGCCUUUUGUAAGGUUUUGAUAGAUCAGUAGCUCUUUUACUACAUACUGCUUUCUGCUCUUCUACAAACAACAGAUUGCAUACACAUAGAAGAUAUAUAAACAUAGAAAGUAUAUAAAUAUGAAAAAAUAACUUCUUUCUAUAAGGAAAAAUACAUUUAUUAGUAUCACCCCUAAAUUUGACAUCAAAUCAGUUUUUGUGAACAAGUGAUUAUCUUUUCUACAUGGAUAUAAUGAUGCCUCUAGUGACAAAACAUGCCACUGUAUGAAUAAACAACCCUUGAGGUUGACAGUUUAGGUUGUCAGGCUGUAAGAAAAAAACACUUCAUAAAUUUCAGAGAACUUAAUUAUUCAGUCAUCAUAAGUAUUGAGCCCAGAGUAUCUACUUUAUGCUUAAUGCUGCUGCUAAUGGUAGGGACUAGGGAGUGGAAACAAAAGAUGUUGUGAAAAGUUUGCCUUCCCUCAGGGGCCUGAAAUACGAGGAGCAAAAUAUUAAAUAUUCACAGUGAAAACAAUGUUAUUAAUUGCCAUAAAAUACUUUAAUCCUCAGAGCAUUUAUUAUCUUUCUACUGAGGAUUAUCAGAAUUGCAGCGUCAUUAAGAUUCACUAUGGUUCUAAAAAUAGUGGUGGGAUUUCACUUAGUUUUAGAAGAAUGGUGAAGAUGUAAAUAAAGAGCUAGAAAGGAAAUGCUAUUCCAUGUUGGAUUAACAGCAUGCAAAGAGGAUUGGAGACAUAAACAAACAACAGUCAUUAAUGGCUAAAGCUCAAGAGUUAGUUCAUAUUGGGUGAAAUAAUAAGUGGGAAAAUUAGAUCAGUGGUUCAGCCCUGGCAGAACCUAAGAGUCAUCCAUCUAUUUUUAAAGCUACAAGUCCCUGGAUCUUCCCCAGAACUAUUAAAUAGAAUUUCUGGGGCAUGGGGCAUAAGCCCGUUUAUUUUUAAAGCUCCCCUAGUGGUUCUGAUAUUCAGCCAAGGUUGAAAUCCCCUGAAUUAGAAGGAUGGGCCAAAUUUAAGAGAGCUAUGAAUCCCCUGCUGAGGAGUUGGGCCUCUGUCCCUCAAGCAGUGGGAAGCCUUCAGAGGUUUCUGAGGUGGGUGACAUGAUCAGUUUUGUCCUUGCCAAGAUAAAUGAUUCCUCAACUAUAUGUGAAUGGAAGAAAAGUAAGGAAAAGCUUGAAGUAGAGCAAUGGUUAUGAGAAAAAAGAGCCACAUUUUUAAGUAUAGUUAGAUGUGUGGGAGUUGGUGAUGUCAGCCUUGACCUCAGUAUGAUUUGUUUUAUAAACUGAUUAUACAACUUCACCCUUAUUAAUUUGGUCUUUUUUCUCUUAUGACCUGGCAACUUAAACAGUAAUUUCAGCCACUUUGCAUUUAAUGGAAAGAGAUCAUGGUCUACUCAGGUACAUGUCUAAUUCAUAAUAGUAAGUGAAGUUAUAUGUAUGAGGAAUAUGACCUUCAACACAAUCAUUAUAAAGCAAUCAGGAACCUCCCGUAUAUGCAGUAACACAACCCCAGUCCUACAGAAUUGUGCCAAGAAUCAGAGUCACAUAUAUAAGGUAGUUGUUGACUCACAGUUCCCUAGCAUUAAGUUGAAAUUUGAAGAAACGUUCUCAAUCAUCCUAUGCAUUUUAAUAUUUUUAGUAUUAAAUUUGAUAAUUGCUUAGUUUUUUGCUGGCAGAUUAUGUGAGGCCCCUGACUAAAACACCAAUCCAUAUUCUAAGCUUACAAUUCUUUCUCUGCCCAUUUUUGUAAAGAGAGCAAGCAACCUGUGGGCUCCCAUUAGUUCCAUCCUCUGAUGUUAUCUACCUGUAAGUGCCUCCAACUCAUCCUCAUCCAGAGGGAUAACUGAAUCAGCAGAGUGGAAUCUUCAGUGGAGUCAGAAUUUCAGUUCUUUUGCGGCACUGAUCAGCCAGAUGAUCCUGGCAAUUCUUUUGCUUCUGACCCAAGUGGCACAUGAUAGCUCCUAAGGUGUACAAACUCAAACCACACCAUAGGUUAGAAACAUUUCGUAUCUCUUUGAUGUGUUUGAAUUUUUUUAUUUGAAGAUAAUUAGCCAUAUUUAUUAGACAGCAGAGAAUAAGUUCAAAGCCUGAAGUUUUGAUGUGACCCACCUCCCUCUACAAAAGACUCAACAUCAUGAAUUUUUUAAAAAUAACUACUUUCUCAGUUAUUCUAUAAUAAUAUAUUCAACAAUUUCUUUGACCUUUUUUGCCUUAACAAUGAAUGUAUUAUUGUUUUAUCAAUAUCUUUAAACUUUGAAUGACUUUUGUAAUAGAUAUGUAGUUUUCACUCAUCACCCAAAUGUUUAAACAGUGAAUGGAUGGUUUGCUUAGAGUUGAUAGAUUUGGUAGAAGAGAGGAAAGAGAAGGCAGCUAACAUUUAAAAUAAAAAUCAAGUGCUAUAUCAUAUUCUUUACAUAUAUUUUGUCAUUCUAAUUUCAUUUCACAAAUGAGGAAAUUGGGAUUUAGAGAAGUUUAAAAAACUUACCUGAGCCCAAAGUCAGGUCUGGCUAUCUGUGGAAAGAGCUUAGUCUUGUAAGUUUUCAUGACUUUUAUAUGUGGGAGAAAUCACUGAAUGCAGAAUGAGAAGGUUUGAAUAUAAGCCUCACCCUUGUCACUAAUAACCCUGAAACAAAUUAUUUAAUGCUUGAGAGCAUCAGUUUCCUUGUCAUCAUAGGAGUUAACACUCACUUUACUGACCAUUUUGGCUUGUUGUGAGAAAAAUUGGCUAGUUAGAUUCAGUAUGAUUUUAUACACAUAAAAACCCGUGGAAGUAUGAUAAAUUCUUAAUUCAAGCAAAUAAAUAAACAGAACAAACAUUAAAUGAGAUGACUUGAACCGACUUUGUGGUUUUUCAUUACUUAGUAUUGCUAUAAAUUUUCCAAAAAUAAUGUUCAUCAAUUUUGCAAAUCCCAAACACUGUGGUGUGCCAAACUGCAUCACUGUCCAUUUAAUAUCUCAGUGUAGCCGAGAGUGUCCUGGCUUUCACUUGCCAGGAGCAAUCAUUAGUUUCUAUGCUCUAUUAACUAGGUUCGACCCCCAGUAGAUGCUCAUUGCCAAUGAGGAUUGUUAGGCAAUGUGACUUAUUGAUGUUAACAUUCUCAGAACAUUUUUCCCCAUAUUUCUGAGGUUUUAGAACAAACCUGAAGAAAAAAGUCACAUUUUGUAAUAUUGUUUUUACAAAACUGCUUUUCAAAAAUGUUUCCAUUGCCAGGCUUACUAGUGUGUACCUGCAAUCCCACCUACUUGGGAGGCUUAGGCAGGAGGAUUACAUGUUUGAGACCAGACUUGGCAAUUUAGUAAGAUCCUGCCUCAGAAUCAUAAAAAGUUUUAAAAUGAGCUGGGACUAUGUUGCUCAAUGGUAGAACACCUGGAUUCAAUCCCAAUAUGGCAAAAAAAAAAAAAAAAAAAAAUCCCCCCAGUUUCUGAAAACUUAUACAUUACAGAUUAGUCACACUGAAUGACAAUUAUGAGCUAUUAUAAUCCACUUGUGACUCCUUCCUGUAUAUAUGUAACAGAUAAGGAUUUGGAAGAACUCAUUAAAUUAUAAGGACAGUGCUAUGAAUGAUGUCACAGGUCAUUUCCUAGGGUUACACAAAACCCUUACUCAAAAUUCUUUGACAUUGACUAUUAGCUAAGAGAACAGAGAAACAGUUUUAAUAAAACUUAAGAUGUGGAUCCACAAGUGUGUGCCCACGCAGUUUUAGGUUCUUAAGUAUAUGUGACUCCCCUGCAUCAGUACAUCUUGGGAUCAGUACAUUGCAUAGAGGGUUUUCUGGUCUUAAGGUAUUGACUUCAACAUGGUUUCCGAUACCAGUGCUGUGCCUGCUUCCUAGAUCUGGUGGAUGGAUGGCUCCAGUUAGGGCCAUGUGAAAUAAAAUUCAAGGGAAGUAGACAUAGAAAGCAAAGAAAAUGGACAAAGUAGAGAUUGUAAAUCCUCGACCAAUGGCCAGAUUUGGUCUGUAAAUGUGUUUUGUUUGACCAGCAGAAUAUUUUUUAAUAUUAAUAUUUUAUUAAGUAUUAAUAUUUUUAAUUAGUAACUAAUUUGUUGUCAAAAAAUUUAAUGCACAAAAUCAUGGCUGCUGCAUUCUCAUGCAAACUAGAAGAUCUGGCAACUUGGUCCUGUAUUUCCAUGUGGUAGUCAUCAGCUAGUGCUGAAUAGAAGCUGUCUAUAUUAGAUUGGAACAUUGUACUUUUUGGUUAUCUCAGUCCCACCCCUCGUUAUUGUUUUUCUUUAAGUAGAAAUAAGAGGAGAGCUAAAUCUUACUUAGACUUCCAUCUGUGUUAAAAUUGCAAAUAGCAGGUUGAAGACAUGGCAUAUUUCAGUAUAAGUGAGAGAUGGUAUUAGUUUUCUAGAGCUGCCAUAACUAAGUACCACAAGUGGAGAGGCUUUAAACAACAGAAUUUUUUCCUACAGUUUUGGAGGCUAGAAAUCUGAAAUCAAUUGGCAAGGCCAAGUCACUCAGAGGCCCAUAGAAGAGGAUCCUGCCUUAUCUAGUUUCUGGAAGCCUCGGGCAUUUCUUACUAUAUGACAGCAUCCUGUCUUCUCAUGAUUGUCUUCCAUUCUGUAUGGCAGUGUCCAAAUUUUCUCCUUAGAAGGAUACCAGCCAAAUUGGAUUAGGACCCAGCCUAAUCUAGUAUGACCCCAUCUUGAUUAGAUUUCAUUUGCAAAGACUGCUUUCAAAUGAGGUCACAUUCACAGGUACCAGGGUUAGUACUUCAUGUCAUUUAUGGGGACAUAAUUUAACCCAUGAUAGAUGACAUAUAUCUUUGUGGAAAGAGGAAAAAUUAAGAGCAGGGAUACUUUAAUCAGAGUGUCCACAUUCAAAUUUACAGCUUAUUUGCUUUGUGGUUUUAGACAAGUUGAUUUCUCAGAGCCUCAGUGUCUUCAUCUGUAAAAUGGGGAUAAUGGCACCUGAUUCAUAGGUUUGCAUUGAAGACAAAAUAAGUUAAUAUUUAUAUGAAGCACUUAGAAGAGUGCCUGGCACAUACUAUAUGCUCAGUAAAUCAAUUUUUGUCAUUAUAAUUUUUGUCAUUAACUUAUUCAUACAUAAAUGUAUACAUAGAGUAUCAGUGCACAAAAAAAAACUAUUAAUAGGAUAGCCUAAUGAAAGAAAAUAUGGAUACACUAAAGGUAGUAGGUAUAAGUAGUGCAUGGAAACAAAACUUGAACCAGAGAGAGAGGCUGGAAUUUUAAUAAAAUGUUAUUUUUAAUGCAAAUUAUUGCAAUAUGUCAAAAACAAUUUAGCCUGCUCCCUCUUUUAGAUUACCUGCCUAGCCCCUGUGUGCACUUGAAGCUGACUGAAAUCCCAAGAGAGAACUUUAAACCCAGAAGUAUAGAUGCUGACUAUUGGGUUGGUAAGCACAAGUGACCUGUAGAUAAUAAUGAGGCAGUUCCUCUGGGGAGAAUGCCUAUGGAACCGAUAUCUAAGCAUUCCUACCUGUCUCUUGGGAAGCAUGAUCUUACCUUCUACCUGCUUCCCCAAAAUCUUUAGGUUUAAGUAAUUCUGAUCUCUAAUUUUGGCUCAGAGAUUGAGGUUGAAUAAUUUUUUUAAAAAAUUUAAAUCAUACUUUUAUUUUGAGGUGUAUUUUUUUACUCUUUGACAUAGACUUGAUAUAAGAAAAUCAUACAACUUGAACUUUAUUAAAAACCGAGACAAGAGCACUGAUAAAAUUUAAAGCAACUGCAAGAAUGUUUGAAGUACCAGGAAGGAAGCUGUUCUGUAGGUGAUUGGCUGUUGGAUUUGUAGUACUACAGAAUAUAUAUAUCUCAUUCUCAAAGAUAGUGCUACCUUAGAAACAUGCAAAUAUCAAAUAAAGUCAAAGUAUCUUACCCAAAUGGUGGAAGGGACAUAUAUAUGUAUGUUAAUUCUGAUUUGUGACUUUAUUUGAAUAAAGGAAAUUAAGCUAUUUAAUUUUUGGUAAAUGAGUAGAAUUUUAUAGUUUUGAGUAUCAAUAACUGGAACAUUUAGAUUCAAUGAUGUAUCCAUCAGGACUCCUUCAUCACUGAAAGGAAGCCAGCUUAAACCAGCUUAUGAAAAUAAAGGGAACUUAAUUGUUUAUGUAAUUGUGAUUUCCAGAAGUGCAUCUGACUUCAGGCAUGGUUACAGCCAGGAACUCAAAUGAUCUCAUCUGGAUUCUUCUUUCAGCUUGGCUGAUUUCUUUAUUUGUCAUUUGUCAGAGGCAUAUGGCCAGUAAGCUGAUCACUAGCAAUUUAAGAUUGUCUUCCUUCUGGUUUAAUAAUUCCAACUAAGAGAACUUGUCAGGCCAAAUAUCCACCUAUCUGCCUCAAAGAAGAUGUGCAUUGACUCUGUUUGACCACUUGUGUGGCCAUUUGAAAAAUCAGUGUGACCUAGGAAUGGUAUAUACUGGUGGGCCAGCCUGGUCUGCUAUAGGAGAGGGACACUGCCCAGUGACUGUAAGCCUCACUGGGAUCUCAUGCAGUGGGAGAGGCUUUCUCAAGGGAAAUAGGAAAAGGGAGAUGAGAAUGUGUUCUCAGUAAACCAAGACGGACAUGACUUCAAAUCAUUAUAAAUGGUAUGUGAAAUAAUUCACAUAGUAAUUUUUGGCUUUACAAUGGCAGUGAAACAACUUUCUGGUGCCUUCUACAAAAGAAAUUUAUAUAAAAACAAAGAGUAUAGAUGCAAAAAUUCCAGCUCUUUAUUUGAUGAGAGGUAGGUGACCUCAAUAACUCUGAUGCAUAAGCUUUGAAGACAGAAAGAUUUGAUGCUAUGACUAGGUAUAACAAAGGAAUGUGAAAUUCUAAUCACUAGAGAGACAAUGGCAGUGUUAUCAGGGGACUAGAGAAGGAGGUGUGGCUUGGUGUUAAAAGCAUAUCAUCAGCUGAAAGUCUGUCUCAGGACUAGUUGGACUCUUAUGUCCUCACCUCACUCCAGCCAGAAAAAAAACUGUCUUCUCUAUAUCUUAGGAAUUGGAAGCUUUCUUCUCUGGAAGAAACUAUGAGAAUCUAUAGACAGUGACAGUGGACAGUAGGGUUAAGGGAAAGUCUGCCCUGCUUGCUGGUAGAGAUCCAGAAAAAAGAAAUGUCACGAACAACAGCUUAUUAUCAAUACUCAAAUGGAAACAUUAGAAUGAAGGCAGGAUUUGCAAAAUGUCAUUUUUUUCCUUGUCCUGGCAUAGGAUGAUUUGAAGUGACAAAGUUUGGGUUGUAAUCUCUUAAAAUGAUUGGUCUUUAUUUUUCAACAUGUGUAAAGCUGAAUAAUUUGAACAACAAAGUAUUAGACUGUUAGCGUUUGUCAUACCUUUCACCAAUGAUGAAGAAAGAGUUGUGAAGACUGUUUUCUUCUAAAAAUUUGAGGAGGCAUCAAAAUUUGAAAUUUAGCAUACAUGUACUUUAAAUUAUCUUACAUUACUUUAAAAAUACUAUUUUUAAGAUUCAGUAAAUACUAUUCUUGUCUAUGUAACUAAUAAAAUGUGUUAUAUUAAAAAUCUUCAAAUUACAGUUCGGGAUUUUUGUACAUUCUAAAUUUUAGUCUGUAAAUAUUAUAAAAGCGUUGAAAUUCUGAAGCAUUGUCAGGUUGCCACCUUUUGAAUUGGUUUCUAAAGCUUAAUGAAAUGGAAGGCAAAUGUCUUUCCCUUCUUAAAACAAGAAGUUUUAUUUUAUUCUUUGUUGUAGUAUAAUGAGACCAAAAUAAUGUGAAAAAUUAAAAAUGAAAUUGCACCAGAAUUUUAUUUGCCAAUAUAACUUUUUUAAAAAAAUUGUGCUGCAUUGCUUUUGCUGAAAAACCAGAUCAACUAAUCCAUAUGAAUUCUCUAUUUUUAAGAGGAUUUUUGUGGUUUUGUUUUGGCUUAGUGAGGUCAAGAAUUUUAAAUUAGAAUUAUAGAAUUGGAAGGUAUCCCUCUUAUUCAUUUUACAAAUGAAAGAACUCAAGUCCUGAGAAGUCAUAAUUUAUCCAGGGUCACAAGCUAAUAGUGAGGGUCAGAUGAGAAUCAGGGCCUCCUGGCCAUCAGUUCAGUGAUUUUUAUAAAAGACUUCUUGGGUUUAUUUUUACUACCAUCACUUUAUGUGCAGUAUCCAUAAUUUAUUGCAUUAGGCUCAGUUAGCAAAUUACAAGUUUUUGUUUAAUCCUCUAAAGCUGAAGGAACCUCUGGGAUUAGGAAUACUGACAGUGACAGAAAGCAUGGAUAGCAGGAAGCAUUUUUAAGACUCUUUGGCUGGGGUAGGGGCUGUCCCUUGGUUAGACUCUGAUCCUGCUCCCUACCAGGAACUCCUGUGUUUAUUUUUCUCUAGUACUUGAUUCUGCCUUCUGGAAGAUUCUUCCUUGACCAUUUUUUUCACCUACAGUCACACUUAUGUGGGCAUUGGGAAAUACGUCCUUUAUUUCCUAUUUUUUGUCCAUGCAUUUAAACAUUAUUUUAAGAGUCUCUCAAAGGCUUACAUAUAAUGCAACAUUUGUGGGGCCUUUGGCCAUGUUAUUUCCCCAAACUUAGCUAUUUUUUUUAUCUAUCUUACUGCAGUAAAUUCCAUGUGCUAGUAAGAGUGACUACAUGUUCCAAACUGGCAAGGACAGUCUUAUUUUAUGUCCCUUGUCUUGGCAGGUUAAGUAAUAAUGCCCUUUUCUACACUCAGAGCUAUCGCAGUUUGGACAGUGAAUUGUAUAAUUACUCUAGGCAAUAGCACACCAAAAAAAAAAACCCAAAAACCCUCCAAGCCUGAUUUGUUCCUUCGCUUUCUUAUAUUUCUGUCUCUUUCUCAACCUACUGGGGUUCUUAUUGGACCAUUUGAAAUGUGUUUUAUCUGAAGUUAAUAUACUUAACUUAAUCUGCAGCAAGGUUAAAUUCCUCUGUUUACCAGAGAAAGCAUAAGGAACCAUAUUUUGUUCAAAGUUUUUUUUUUUUUAAGUCUUCUUUUUAAAUGUGUGAAAUCCAGAAGCAGUCAGCUUUUCUACCUCUGAGAGUCCCUCAGAUUUCUAGAUUCUCAGUUUCCUUUCAUUGCUACUCUCAAAUCUUUUAGUGCUUGUCUCUUAACAUUUCUUUAUUAUAAAUCUUUGAUAAAGACAGCAAAUAGUACUAUGUAAUUCAGACAUUCUGUUUUCCAUUUCUUUUCUCUAUAGACAUGGGUUUGGUAGACAAUUGCAUUUGUAAAAAUGGAGGUAUUCAGUCAUCCCUAGGAAUCCUCAGGGAAUUGGUUUCAAGACCCCUCCCCAAGAUACCAAAAUCCACAGAUAUUCAAGUCACUUAUGUAAAAUGGUAUAGUAUUCACAUAUAACUUACACAUAUCUUCCUGUGUACUUUAAAUCAUCUCUAGAUUAUUUCAAAUAUAUUGUUUAUGAAUAACAACAAGACAAAGUCUGUACAUGUUCAGUAUAUACACAUAGGUUUUCAAAUAGUUUGAAUUCACAGUUAUUUGAACCCAAAGAUUCGAAGCACAAAAACACAAGAGCUGACUGAAAUUUACAGGCAAUACGUGCAUAGCUUUUAAGUGCUCAGUUCAAUGAGUUUUGACAACUGUAACCAUUACCCAAAAUAAGAUAUGGAACAUUUCCAUCACUCCAGAUGGAUAACCCUUUCCAGUUAUUUCCCCGCUUUAUACCUCUGGAGCAACUACCUUUUCACUUCUGUCACCAAGGAUUAUUAGUUUGGCAAGCAGUCUUUUUAUUAAAUGUUUGGCAAGCAGUCUUUUUAUUAAGUGCUUUGUGACUAUAUGGCAUAACUACCUUACUACCUUUUACUUGGUUUCUUCAUUUCUAGCUACUAAGCAAUUACUAUAUACUUUAGAGCUUUUCAUCUGUGCCUUCCUUAAAUAUAUUGUAGUUGUUUGUUUAUUUCUUUUAUUAAUUUGGGAAAGCUAACUGCUAUAAUAAGUAGACCCCAAAAUUUAUUAAUAGCUUAAACCCAAUUAAAGUGUAUUUACCGCUAAUGAAAUAAAGUACCAAAGGCAUUUGUGAUCAAUAGAUAACCGUCCAUAACCUGGGCCUUUGAGUUCUUUAGCAACUGGGGAACGAACAUGAACACACCUUAUCUGCUUCUGAAAAACUGCAAUCCAGAAGUUGACACUCAGUCACUUCCACUGAUAUUUUUCUGGAGAGUACUAUUCACAAAGCUACAUCUGGAACAAGGGACAAAGACCUGGAAAUGUAAACUCUGGCAGGGUAAAUGUUUCCCAGUGACAGCCCCAACACUAUAACAGGGAAAAGUGAUGUCACAGCUUUUAUUUUAUUUUAAUGAUACAAUACCACAUUGCAUUUCUUUUUUGUCAUGGUACUUACUUUUUUUGUAUUAUAUGUUCUUUUAUGUUUUCUAUAUAAACAUUUCAGAAUUUAAAACUGAAAUAAAAUGGUAUUGCUUUCUCUAUGAUAAAAAUGCUAAAGAGCAAAACGAAGUUAUUUUCCCUUGAUUAUUCUGAUAAAAUUAAAAUUAGUUUUGGGCAUCAACAGAUAUAAUUUUAACUUUUAAAAGACAUAAAAGCCUGAUCUCACCAUUUUAUUCAAAAUUGGGCUAGAAAGCCCAGCCAGCAGAGUAAGUAAAAGGGAGGCAGAGAGGAGCCUAAGAGAAAAGGUGCAGGAAUGGAAAGAAGGAAAAAAUACAUCAUCAUUGGCAUUGAUAUAGUUGUCCAUGUGGGAAACUGUCAGAACACUACAACUAAAUUAUUAGAGUUAAUGAAUUAGGAAGAUUUUUUAAAAUACAGAGUCAGCGUAGGAAAAACAGUUGCUUUUCUAUAGAACAGAAACAAACAACAAAAUAGAAAAUAAUGAUAACCAUUAAUAUCCUACAUAGCCAUGGAUUAUUUAUCAAAAUUAAGAAGUUAACAUUGAUAGAGUAAUGUUAACUAAAUUACAAGCUUUCAUUCAGGUUUUCCCAGUUUUUCUUUGACACAUUUUUUGUUUCAGGAUCAAUUCAGGACACCACUUGCAUUCGGUAGCCAUAUCUCUUCAGUCUUCUCCCAUUUGUGGAGUUUGUUGCUGUUGAUGCUGCUGUUUUCCUUGUCUUUUCCAGGCUUUAUACUUUUGAAGAGUAGUGGUCAUGUCUUUUUUAGAAUGGGACUCAAUUUGAUUUUGUCUUAUGUUUUCUCAUGAUUAUGUCACUUCAUAUCAGAGAGUAAAUUACAUCAACAUGAUUUAUUGCUGGUGGUGUUAACUUUGUUCACUUGGUUAAGAUGGUCUCUGCCAGAGUUCUCCACAGUAAAGUUACUACAGUGUUCCCCUUUUAUCCAUCGGGAACGUGUUCCAAGACCUCCAAUGGAUGUUGAAACUGCUGAUAGUACCAAACCCUAUAGAUACUAUGUUUUUUCCUAUAUAUUAUCUAUAAGAAAUUUUAAUUUAUAAAUUAGGCACAGAAAGAGAUUAACAAUAAUAGCUAUAAUAAAAUGGAACAAUUACUAUUAUAAUUAUAUUUAUGUAAUAUAAUGUAAUUUUUUUAUUUUUGAGAGUAUAUGGUUCUUUGUAAUCAGUGAGAUAUUUUAAUCAUAUGCCUUGCAGUAUUGUCACAUAGUACUAGGGUUAAUCUGUUCUUCCCUAUUUUAUGCCCUGGUGCUUCUUUAGCACUUUUAUGACUAUAGUUCCUGUUGGGCAUCUUCUAUCAGAAAAGCCUCGUUUAAUCACAGUUGAGUACUUGCUUGGGAUGAUAUAUCUUGUUUUAUUAAUCAACUGCCUCAACUGUGUUAGAAAUGCAGCUACAACUCCACAGGUGGAUCUCUCCGGUAAUUUUUAUAUUUUUCAGACCAGGACUAUUCCUGAGUCUAACCAUUCCUUACUUACAGUAAAUGGCUUGGUAUUACUCACAUCACGGGAUCCUCUCAUGUGUUGUGUAACACAAUUCAGUCAAUCAGAAGAUACUUUGUUUAUGUCUUCUGCCCCAAAUUUAAUGCCUUUUCUUUAAAAAGCACUUAUCAUGCACUUUUAUCACCAGCUAGCCAGGCUGGCUACCUAAGCUGGAUUCACAAAAGCUGGCUACAUUAGUAACUAAGAAAAUGGCCAAAAAAAAAAAAAAAAAAAAAUCAUACAACACACAGAAAUACCUUUUGCUUGCAGAAAUCAGGGACAACUCUCAACCUUUAGGGUCCAUUGGAAAGAGAGAGAGCAUGCCUGAGACUCUAUUUAUUGAGGGGAAGAUACUUUUGAAAGUUCCACCCAAAUGAUGGAAGGGUUGGGUUUCAGGUGGGUGUAGCCCGUCCCAUUGGGUGACUGCCCACUCUCGGAGCUUCAUUCCCCUGCUGACCAGAGGUGAGGUCCACCUGCUUUAGUGCACAGUGGAAGACAGUCCCACACCUCAAUCACUUAAGGAUAAGGGUACAUGUUCAUUCCUAUGUGGCAGCUCCCCACAUAUACCCCCUUUUUUAUAUGUAAAUACACCGAAGGGUUAUAACUCCCAGUCACUGGAUUCUUUGUCUGAGGAUGUCAUGACCUCCUAUUGUGACAUAAAAAGAAUGAGUAGAAAACAUAUCAUUUCAAUAACAUACCAUAUAGAAUGUUUCAACAUAUUUUUUGGAUUAAAGUCAUUCAAUUAAUUUCAAAAGAUCCAGGUUAUUAUUAUUACUCUGACAAACACUCACUAGAAGAUUUUUAAUCUUUUCCCAAUUUUAUUGGGAAGCAUUGUAUUUGGCCAUAGUAACACAGACAUAUUUAUAAUUAGCAUGGCAUUCAAGCCUUGCCUUAAACCAUAGAGCAGAGAUCUCAUUUGUAUUAUUUAUUACAGUGGCUUCUAGAGCGUACAACUUAGUUUCAAUCCUUCCGUCAAUAUUCAUCUGACUAUGGAGGAUCUGGGAAGUAAUUUAAGCCAAAUUAUUUAAGAAUAUUUACAUUUGUAAGUUUAAAACAUAGCCACAAAGGCUGUAAUUGUAGAAACAAUGAAUAAAUUCAAAGUAGUCACUUUAAGGAUCAUGAGAUCAAGAGCUUGCCUAGGUCUGUUUAAUUGGCAUGCACCUGUUUCGAAGGCUGAACAUUAAAUUCAGCAUACCAUGGUUCUGAAAUGUUAGCUGGCAGUAGGACAAAGGAAGGUUGAUGAAAGAUCAGUGUUCUUUUCCUCUGUUAUACCUAAUGAUACAAUUAGAUAAGUUGCAUUUUUUAUAGGCUACAGGAUAUUUAUCAUCCUUUCUCUUAAUUCUCACAUUUAAGAAUUUUCUUAGGUUUGUCAGUAAUGCAAAAAUUUUGGGGCAGAAGUUAAGCACCAGACACCCUUAUGGAUGCCAUCUCUCUAAAGGUUAAAGCCUCUAGGAAUCAUGGUAUCCUCAUGUAAUUGUCUUUGUCAAUUCUGGGAGACCAGUCUAAAAUAUAUCCACUAUUUUUAGACACCUUAUGUUAUACUGGCAAGACAUUUGCACAAUCCAUCCACUUAGGAAUGGUGCCAAUUUUAUUGUAGAAUGAUUAGGGCAAUAAUAUGUUGGUAGAUACUUUAUGUGAAUAACUGGCCUGUAUAGAAAAAUUCGAUUUUAAUAAUCUUUCUAUUUUGACAGUUGUCCAGAUAUGUCAGUGUAGUCUUAAUUUCCAAGGACCAGCAUGAUUGGCUGGUUUAGGUUACCCAUAUGCUGUCUCCCCCCCCCCCCCCCCCACCGAAAGAUACUCUUAGACAGCCAGCAUUUUUAUCAUGGGAACAACAUAUAGGUAUAGCUGACCAUUAUAGUCAGUACAAUUAAUCUAGUCACAUGGAUGAAUUUUCUAGUCCACACCGUAAAGUACAUUAAAAAGUGCACUUGGGAAAUGGGUCCACAGAAGUCUCUUCAUAAGUUUUACCUACCUGACAAGCUCGUUAAGCUGCAUGGCUGUAAACUCUGCAGCUAGAGAUUUACCUUCCUGUAUCAGGUUUUUCAGCCAUUUCCAGGAUAACAGGUUUAAACUGUUUUGAAAUCUGAUUUAACUUACUAAAUCAUAUUCAGCAGCAGUAAGACUUUUAAUAUCACAAUUUAAGAAAAAAAUUUGAAAUAUUUGUAAGAUUUAGUAUGUGUAUAUAGGAUCCUGUUUUCCCCUUAUUUCUUUGUUAAAAUUGAAUAGAGGCUUAGCAUAAGUUAUACUAUCAUUAGGUGAAUAGUAUAGUACAAGUAUUUAAAUAAUAAGAAAAGGUUUAUUAUCUCUAGCUGGUUAUGAAACUUGACAAAAGUCAUUUAAAGGGACCAUAGUAAAUAGAAACUUAAUCUUUACCAAAUAUACGACUUGAUUUUAAUAGAAUUAUCCAAAAUGAAGAAUAUAAUAAGUUGUAUAUAAAAAUUUGUGUUGUGAAAUUAGCUCUAGAUUAACUUAAAUGACUCUCUUAAUUUGGAAUGAGGCUAGAGCCAGAGUUUUAAACUUAAGAAUGGUGUCCUUUACUAGCAGCAUGAGAAAUAUAUAGAGACAUCUUUCCAAAAUAGAAAAUAUAUGUUUAAUAAACAUAGGAAAAAUAUUUUGUUUUUUUACCAUUAACAAAAACUGAAAUAGAAAACUGAAUAUCCCUUUAUUUACUAAUCCAUUAAAAAUUGUUAUUAUUGUUAUCAAACUUAAUGCUGACCUAAGUAUGUGGAGUUAGUACUUCAAAAAUUGAUGGGCAAAAAUAAGUCAAUAGUAUUGUUUGAGACCGUGAUCUGAUUUAGAAUUUUAUAUGGCAUUAAGCUAGCAAUGACAUUUUGAGGGAUUCAUGUCAAAACAGUCUUUAUGUGUAAACAGUUAUAUGAACAUGUUUAAUAACUUGAUGUAAUAAGCUCUAAUAAUUAUGUAUAGUUUAUGUCUUUACUAAUUUUUAAAAUACCAAUGUGUGAUGUAGGGCACUACCUUGUUUUUAAAGUAAAGAAUGGGCUUAUCACAUUUAAGUUCUGUAUUGAGAUAAACUAGUGGCUGUUGAGCUGACUUGUUUAUGGCUGUCUGUCUAAUAUUUUAGGGGUGACUAUUUUUAGAGUUAUUUUUCUCUGUGAUAAACUGAUGACAGGGGCUCAAAGUAAACCCUGUUUCAGUGUUAUAGAGGCUUUCAAAGUUUUUUUUUUUAAUAACUUAAAAGAGGAGUAACAUUUUUAUUUAGGAAGUUUAUUUCUUUUGGCAUCAAGACUAGUAUUUUGGUCUUUUUCUAUCUUUAUGUUUUUUUUCUUUUAUUUGAUCUCUAUUUAAAUUAUGGUGUAACAUCUAAAUUUGCGUAGGACCAUGUUAGUUUCUGCAAUCCCUUGAAAAUGGGUGGCCCUCUAUAAAUUUAGGGUGCUAUGUACUGUCUCUUUGAGUUUCAUAAAAACAGUAGGAUUUUUCUAAAGGCUUACUAAAAUAAUAAUAAUUAUUAUUAUUAUAAUUAUAUAUAAUAUAUUGUUAUAUAAUUAUAAAUUAAUAUUAUUUUAUAUUACCUGUUGGAUCCUGUUUAUCCCUGGGGAAUUGUCUGUGCUCCAAACAACCAGGUUUGUCCCUAUUCUGUGUUUUUGGGACAAGAUUAAGAUAGAUCUUUUUAAAAUUGUUCUUAGGAUGGCCUUCUAUUUUAAAUUUUAGCUAAGUAAUAGCAUAAUAUCUAGGUGAGGUCAGACAUCUGGCAUAAGUUCUGAAAUAUAUUUGGAUCUCUUGAAAAUCUCUCUGAAUUUGUUCUUAUCUGUAUUAAGCUAGAGAGGUUUCUUUUGUUUAAGGCCUUGUCUCAUGGUAGUGACUGAGGCCAGACCUACAAUAUAUGAAAAUAAGACACCUCUUUUGAUCAUUGUAAUUCAUUUUGAUGUUACAUGUAAAAUGGAUAAAUUAAAAUAACCUUUAAUCCCUUCCUGAGAGAAGGUCUCAAAAUAUCUUUAUAUUUCAUAAUAUUAUCCUUUAAAUGGAUCAGUGUCUCUCAGUUGUCUUUAAAAAAUAUGAUUAAGGGUACUUCCCAAUGAAGGGAGCUGCAUAUAAGUCUGAUAAUAUAUCUUGUGGGCUAUAGGUCCAGUCAGAGAACCCUACAUGAUACAAAUGAAUUCCCAAUAAAAUUUGUAGCUUCUGUUGCUCAAAAUUAACAUAUAGCCUUAAUUUGGAGAACAUCAGUUUUAAUAAAAUGUUCUCUUAAAUCUCACAGAUAUUUUAGAAACUUAUAUAUUUAACAAACGAAAUUAAUAUGUAAGAAUUAGCAGUAAUUAUCAUAAUUAUGAUGUUUUCAAAUCAAUUAAAUGUAGUCUUUGAAGAGAAGUUUCAAAAUUCGAACUCAAGGUAAUAUUUGAAGACAUUUAUUGUUUAAUCAAGGAUGUGUGAAUCUUAAUUCACUAUAAAUUAUUCCUUGUUUAAACAGCAAGAAUCACUAGGCAUAAACUUAAUGUUUCAAUAAGUUCUGUCAUUCAAAAUUUGGACAAAAAUCUUUAUUUACAUCAGCAUAAUAAGAUCAGGGAAAAGCCUGAAAUAUCCUAAAACUGAUCAUUUUAUAUAUUUAUAGUCAGUUCAGUUAUAUAUGAAUCUGUUUUUCAAUUACCUUAACUUCUUAUAUCACUGUCUAGAUAAUCACAUAAAGAUUUCUAUGUUCAGGGGCUGGGGUUGUGGCUUAGUGGUAGAGUGCUCACCUAGCAAGUGUGAGGCCCUGGAUUCGAUCCUCAGCACCACAUAAAAAUAAAAUAAAUAAAAUAAAGAUAUUGCGUUCAACUACAACUAAAAAAUAAAAUAAGAAAUAUUAUUUUUAAUUGAUUUUAUUUUAUAAAUACAUGACAGUGGAAUGCAUUACAAUUCUUAUUAAACAUAUAGAGCACAAUUUUUUAUAUCUCUCUGUAUAAAGUAUGUUCACCACCAAUUCAUACCUGUACUUGGAUAAUGAUAUCCAUCACAUUCCACCAUUAUUGCUAACCCCCUGCCCCCUCCCUUCCUCUCCUACCCCUCUGCCCUAUCUAGAGUUUGUCAAUUCCUCCCAUGCUCCCCCUCCCUACUCCACUAUGAGUCAGUGACCUUGUAUCAGAGAAAAAGUCAGCAUUUAUUUGGGGGUGGGGUGGGGGGAAUUGGCUAACUUCACUUAGCAUUAUCUUCUCCAGUGCCAUCCAUUUACCAGCAAAUGCCAUGAUUUUAUUCUCUUUUAUUGCUGAGUAGUAUUUCAUUGUGUAUAUAUGCCACAUUUUUUACUCCAUCUACUGAAGGGCAUCUAGGUUGGUUCCACAGUUUAGCUAUUGUGAAUUGUGCUGCUGUAAGCAUUGAUGUGGCUGUGUCCCUGUAGUAUGCUGUUUUUAAGUCCUUUUAGUAUAGACCGAGGAGAGGGAUAUCUGGGUCAAAUGGUGGUUCCAUUCCCAGUUUUCUAAGGAAUUUCCAUACUACUUUCCAUAUUGGUUGCACCAAUUUGCAGUCUCACCAGCAAUGUAUGAGUGUGCCUUUUUCUCCAUAUCCUCGCCAACACUUAUUAUUGUUUGUCUUCAUAAUAGCUGCCAUUCUAACUGAAGUGAGAUGCUAUCUUAGAGUAGUUUUGACUUGCAUUUCUCUAAUUGCUAGAGAUGAUGAACAAUUUUUCAUAUAUUUGUUGAUUGAUUGUGUAUCCUCUUCUGAGAAAUAUCUGUUCAUGUCCUUGGCCCAUUUAUUGAUUGGGUUAUUUGUUUUUUUUGGUGCCUAGCUUUUAGAGUUCUUUAUAUACCCUAGAGAUUAAUGCUAUAGCUGAUGUGUAAGGGGCAAAAAUUUGCUCCCAAGAUGUAGGUGCUCUCUUCACCUCACAGAUUGUUUCUUUUGCUGAGAAGAAACAUUUUAGUUUGAGUCCAUUUCAUUUAUUGAUUCUUGGUUUUACUUUUUGCACUAUAGAAGUCUUAUUAAGGAAGUUGAGGCCUAAUCCCACAUGAUGAAGAUUAGGGCCUCCUUUUUCUUCUAUUAGACGCAGGGUCUCUGGUUUAAUUCCUAGGUCCUUGAUCCACUUUGAGUUGAGUUUUGUGCAUGGUGAGAGAGAGGGGUUUAGUUUCAUUUUUUGCGUAUGGAUUUCCAGUUUUCCCAGCACCAUUUGAUGAAGACACUAUCUUUUCUCCAGUGCAUGUUUUUGGCACCUUUGUCUAAUAUAAGAUAAUUAUAAUUUUGUGGGUUAGUCUCUGUGUCCUCUAUUCUGUACCGUUGGUCUACUAGUCUGUUUUGGUGCCAAUACCAUGCUGUUUUUAACAAAAACAGUUAACAGCUAUUGCUUUGUAGUAUAGUUUAAGGUCUGGUAUAGUGAUGCCACCUGCUUCAUUCUUCCUGCUAAGGAUUGCUUUAGCUAUUCUGGGUUUCUUAUUUUUCCAGAUGAAUUUCAUGAUUGCUUUUUCUAUUUCUAUUAGAAAUGCCAUUGGGAUUUUGAUCAGAAUUGCAUUAAAUCUGUAUAGUGCUUUCGGUAGUAUGGUCAUUUUGAUAAUAUGAGUUCUGCCUAUCCAAGAGCAAGGUAGAUCUUUCCAUCUUCUAAGGUAUUCUUUAAUUUCUUUCUUUAGAGUUCUAUAGUUUUCAUUGUAUAGAUCUUUCACCUCUUUCAUUAAGUUGAUUCUCAAGUAUUUAUUUUAUUUAUUAAUUUUUUGAGGCUACUGUAAACGGGGUAGUUUUUCGCAUCUCCCUCUCAGAGGAUUUGUCACUGAUCUGCAGAAAUUCAUUUAUGGGUGCUGAUUUUAUAUCCUGCUACUUUGCUGAAUUCAUUUAUUAGUUCUAGAAGUUUUCUGGUGGAGCCUUUUGGGUCUUCUAGGUAUAGAAUCAUAUUGUCAGCAAAUAGUGCUAAUUUAAGUUCUUUUCCUAUACGUAUGUCUUUAAUUUCUUUCUUCUGUCUAAUUGCUCUGGCAGUAUUUCUAGAACUAUAUUAAAUAGGAGUGGUGAAAGAGAGCAUCCCUGUCUUGUUCCAGUUUUUAGAGGGAAUGCCUUCAAUUUUUCUCCAUUUAGAAUGAUGUUGACCUGGGGCUUAUAUAGCCUUUAUGAUGUUGAAAUAUGUUCCUGUUAUCCCUAGAUUUUCUAGUGUUUUGAACAGGAAGGGGUGCUGUAUUUUGUCAAAUGCUUUUUUCUGCAUCUAUUGAGAUGAUCAUAUGAUUCUUAUCUUAAGUCUAUUGAUGUGAUGAAUUACAUUUAUUGAUUUCCUUAUGUUGAACCAACCUUACAUUCCUGGGAUGAAUCCCAGUUGAUCAUGGUGCAUGAUCUUUUUGUAUUUGAUUUGCCAGAAUUUUAUUGAGAAUUUUUGUAUCUAUGUUCAUCAGAGAUAUUGGUCUGAAGUUUCUUUCUUUGAUGUAUCUUUGCCUGGUUUUGGAAUCAGGGUGAUAUUGGCCUCAUAGAAUAAUUUUGGAAGUACUGCCUCUUUUUCUAUUUCCUGAAAUAAAUUGGUAUUAGUUCUUCUUUAAAGGUUUUGUAGAACUCGACUGUGUAUGCAUCCCAUCCUGGGCUUUUCUUGGUUGGUAGGCUUCUGAUGGCAUCUUCUGUUUCAUCACUUGAUAUUGGUCAGUUUAAAUUGUAUAUAUCUUCCUGAUUCAAUCUGGGCAAAAAAAAGAAAAUUAUUUAUUCAGGAAAAUCCUUCUAUCAUUAAAAUUUAGAAUAUAUAAAAGCCUUUUCUUUUUACCCAGAGAUAAUUUCUUUCUUCCUCUUAGGACUCUUCCAAUUUCUUAUUCUCUAUACAGAAGUAUUUCUUUCUCUCUCCUACUAGAAUUCUUCCUUGGUUAUAUUUUGGAAUAAUUCCUGUAAAUCUUAGAAUCUAAACAAUUGUUGUAUUUUAAUAAGAAGAGUUACUUCAAAUGAAAUGUAGCCAAGGCUUUUUGGAUAUCUCUGUUUACAGAAUUAUAUCUAUCAUUUUAUAAAAACCUGAACAAUAAUUUAGGAAUUAGAGAUUACUUGAUGGUUAUAUGUCAACCUUAUAAUUUAAUGAGUAUUUCUUGGAAUAAACAUUUUAUAGUAAAUUACAUUUACCUUAAAUAUCUCUAAAAAGCAGAGAAUCAGAUAAAUGCAUGUAUAAAAAAAUAUAAAUUAUAUGAUUCCUGUUGAGGGAAAAUGAUUAGAAGCAAAUAGACAUAUAUUAAUUAUCCUCUAAAUUAAAGACUAUACAUUAUUUAUGUAACUGGGAAAAUAUGCAUUAAGAAUAAAAGUAUAGCUUAUAAUUAUGUAAUCAUAAAUCUUAUGAAACCCUGUGCUUCUUAAAAGUAUUUGGAUCCAUUUUAACUUACUUUUAACUAGGAGUUCACCCUUAUAUCUAGGUGAUGUCACAUCAUGCAGUUAAAAUAAGAUCCUUGUGCAUACAUUUAUGUAUUUUUUGUAUUUACAUAGUAGAAGUGAAAAGAAUAAGGAUUCUUUGGUCGUCAUGGGAACACUGUGAGAAAAGAUCUCAGAUUGCUGGCUUUCUGUCCUCAUGACAAGCAAAUGCACCCCAUAACUUUUAAAAAUGAAAUUAAGCUAUAAGCAUAUGCAUAGUAUCUCAUUAAUGUAACGUUAUCUUUGCAAUUUCUCCUUAAUAAUAUAGCCAUAGAAAAUUCCUAGAGGAACCUGUAGGAUAAAAAAUCAGAUUAUUUAGCUUUGAGAACAAGUCAGGCUGAGAGCUGCAGUGGAAGAGUUUGCUGAAUUAGAUUUUGUCUGAAAAUAAAUAUUUUUGUUAAAGGGAACAUAUUAAAAACCAUGAAAAGAAAUUUUCUGACAGCGGGGCACAGCUUUCGUAACUCCAGUUGUCAGCCUGUGGGAGACAGAUAGUAUAGUUUAGUGGUUGGGCAGUGGGAGUGGAAGCUCUGUUUGAGUGGUGGUAGUAAGGUGGUAGGAAGGUCACUUGGUUGGGGGAUUCUUCCAGGUUUUGCUGGAAGAAUCCAAAGUUUUGCUUGAAAUUGUAGGAUUUUUACUCCCUGUGUUGUCUCUUCUGACCAUGGCAGUCCUUGGUUGAAGCUUGGCAGCGCCCAGCAGCGCGUGUUUGUGGCUCUGUGCAGUCCAGUCGGUGCUCCUGCUAUGGGUUACCAUGGUUAGUGUGUAGCGGAGCAGGUCACAUUGGCAUCUGGACCAACAAAGGACCCUUUGGCUGGCUGCGCCUUGCCUGUCCCUUUGCCCUCUGUUGUGCCCUUUGCCUGGUACCUGGCACUGGGCCUGUUUGUCUGCAUUUCCCCACUUCAAAUCCCCUUGACCUUUCAUGGGCACUCCGCCAUUUUCCCUUGGGUUGUGGAUGUUCCGGUGGCGGCAACGUGCCCUUGCCUCGCUGUUCCCUCAGGCACCCAGUGCAGGGGGGAGCAGCCAGACUUGUGUCCCUGUGAGUCCCGGCCAGCGGCCAGCAUCCCCCUAAUGGUGGCACAAAGCCGCAGUGCAAAAUGAGCCUCCCCUGGUGCUGCCAUAUUGUAUUGCCUGGGCAGGAUCCUUUGAGCUGGUCUCUGUGACUUGUGUUGACCUUAGCACUUUCUCAGUCAGUGGACCGUUUCCCUGCAUCUCCCCCUUGCAGUGCCUCCUGCAGAUGUCUCAGAAAUCUUUCAACUGAAAAGCAGGCUCCAGCAACAGAAGCUGGUGCCAAUGUCCUGCACAUGGACAUUGUGGGCCAGACUAGGUUAUCUAAGGAGCAAAAGUAUUGCUGGCAGUGGGUCUGCAAGGAUAAGUUAAAGACCCCAUAGGGAAGAGCAGCCAAAGCCUUACAUCUGCAUGAGAGUAGCAACUGGGUUACAGCUCACUCAGUUUCAGUAUUCGGUAAGGCUGCAGUAAGAGGCUCAGUAGAUUUAUUAGCCCAAUUUAAAUUGCCUGAAUAAUUCUAGAAAGUAAUAAUCAAAUUAAAAAAAUUAAAUACUUUAUUUCUCUAGAAGCAUAGAUUUCUGGAAUUUUAACGUUCCAUAAUAAAACAAUUUUUCCUCUCGCUCUUCUUUCUCUAAACAUUAAUCUCCAGUAUACAAAUCCAAAUUUUCUUAUCUAAAACAUUUCAAAACACAAAAAAUCCACAUUAAUUCCACAAUAAGCCCUAAAAACCAUGCCUUUCUUAUGAGAGAGAGAGCUACACUUUAACCAUAUACAUAUUAUCAACUACCUUAAACACAAUCCUAGUGGGGACUCCAUUUAUGGCCAGCUAGCCAGGCUGGUGACAUGAGCUGGGUUCACAAAAGCUGGCUACAUUAAUAACUAAGAAAAUGGCAAAAGAAGCACGCAACACACAGAAAUACCUUUUGCUUGCAGGAAUCAGGGAGGCCUCUCAACCUUAAAGGUCCUUGGAAAGAGAAAGAAAGCAUGCCUUAGACCCUAUUUUUUGAGGGGAAGACACUUGAGAAAGUUCCACCCAAGUGAGGGAAGGAAUUGAGUUUCAGGGGGGGUGUAACCCAGUCCCAUUGGGUGACUGCCCACUCCUGGAGCUUCAUUCCCCUGCUGAGCAGAGGUGAGGUCCACCUGUUUUGUCCACUGCUGAAGCCAGUCUCACACCUCCAUUACUCAAGGCUAAGGGUACAUCCUCAUUCCUAUGUGGCAUCUCCUGAUACACUGUGGCCAGAACUUUUGCAGUUUUAGAUUUGACAGUGAAAGUAGCAUGAAUUUCAUUUGAAAAUUUAUUCUUGCUGUAGAUCUUAGCAACCUCAACAGACAAUUUAUUUAUUUAUUUUUUUAAGUUGAGAACCUUUACCUUUUUACUUAAUGGAAGCAUUUGACAGCUUCUUUUUGACACAUCCACAUUGCCAGCAUCACUGCUUUGGGGCUUUAGGGUCAUAAUUAAGUAACUAAGGGUUACUCAAAUAUAAGUACUGUGAUACCAUAACAGUCAAUCUUAUAACCAAGACAGCUAUUAAAUGUAUGCAGGUAGUAUUUAUACUGCAUCUAUACUAUGCAUCAGCUGUGUAUUCAUGUCCCCAGUAGAACAGAGUGAGAUUUCAUCACACUAUUUAGAACAUUGUGUGAUUUAAACUUAUAAAUUGUUUAUUCCUGGAAUUUUCCUUUUAAUAUAUUUGAAUCAUUGUUGAACUCAGGUAACUGAAACCAUGGAAAGAAAAACCAAAAAUGGAGAAUGGAAUCAUUGUCUAGAAAAUGUAAUUUUUUACAUUUAUAAUUUGCCUAGCAAUAUAAUAUAAAUAAUUUUUAAUAAGUCUAAUACAUAAUGUCUUAGACCUUUAAUGAUAAAGUUAUGAACUUUUAUUAAAAGACAUUAUUAAUUUAAUGUGGAGAAACACUACAUUAAUGAAUUAGAACACUUAAAUGUUGAAAACAAUAUUAUUUCUCAGUGCACAUGGAAUCAAAUACCUAAUAUUUGGGGAAUUUUAAUGUUGUUAUUAUUAAUAUUUUUAAUAUAAUAAAAUGCUAUUAUUUUAGUAGCAUUUUGAUGAUACUUGACACUAUAAUUCUGAACUUAUAUAGGGUAGUUAUUCAAAAAUUACAAGUGCAUGCCUAAAGAAUAAGAUGUUUUUCCUGCCCUAUAUCAAGGAGGUCUGGUUUUCCUGCCUUUAUAUCAUGAUUUAAUAUAAAACCAUAGUAAUUAAGCUAGUGUAUGAUUUAGGGAUAUACAAAUUGCCCAAUGGAAAACAAUAGAGAAUUCAGAAACAGAUCCACCUGUAUAUAGAAACUUUGUUUUAUUAUAAAACUGGUGUGUACUGGUCAAUGAAAAGUGGACACAGUUUUCAGUAUAUGGCUUAAGGCAUUAGACUGUCCAUACGAAAGAGAAUGAAGUGGGAUUCCCAAACACAAUGGGAAAAAAAAGUUAAAAUGUUUUAAAUUAACAAUUAUAAUUAAAUUUAAUUAUAAAACUAAAAAUUAGAAGAAGCAGAAUUCAGGAAAGAAGUUGAAGAAAAACCAAAACUUUCAAAGAAAUGAAAACAAGAAUUUGAAAGAGUGUAAGAGAAAAAAGAUGGUGCAGAAAUCAGAGGUCAUAGAGAUUAGAAAUGAGAGAAGUAAAUAAAUUCAAGUGUACAUCUGAAGAAAUGAUAAAAUAUCUUAGUUUUAAAAUAUCAAUGUUUACAAUACACCAGGAACCAUAUCAUUAACUUUUCUCAUGCUUCUGAGUUAUAUACCAGAAAUCAAAAAGUCAUCUAUAAAUUAUUUUAAUGAUGACUCUAAUGACAACUUAAUUACCCUAUCAUCUGUAGGUUACUAAAGACUAGAAAUCGCUUGACUUAUAGAGGAAUUUGCUCUCACUUUCUCAGCUUGAGGAAAUUUUAUCAAAAAGGCUUAACUAAGAUUUAUCAAAUGACUGUUAUACUUAUUACUCUUUUAUGUAGAAGCACCCUAUUUAAUCCAAUAUACUUAGAAAGGGUUGUAAGAACUAUUAUUAAUUGCAACAUAUAUAUGUCAAUAAAUAAUUUUUAGAGAAUUUUUUAAAGAUCUGUCUUAAUUAUAUUUUUAGCAAAGCUUGUAGCUGUAAAUAGAGAUUACUUAGUUUAGGGAAAAUGGCUGCCAUUUAAUCUAAUUUACAAAGCUAGUCUUCAUUUUUAAAUUUAUCUUUCAAAUAAGACAUCCUUCUUUCAGUAAAAGUCCAACUUGAUUUUUUAACUCAAAUAAAUAUGUUAAUAUAUGCCGCCAUGACAACCAUCACAUGGCAGAAUUCUAAUUCUAAUAUAGAUAAAUAGGUAAGGCACAGAGCCCGGCCAUGUGUUGCCUGGAUACAGUAAUGUACUGCUGCCUUCAGUGUUUCUUUGCUUUGUGCUCACUAAAGUCUCCUAGAGAGAUGCUUCUUUAACAGUAAUCAGGCUGUGGAAGAAGGAAAGGCUUUAGGUAAAAUAUCAUCUCUACUGCUUUAUUUUAUCUGAUUUAUAAUAUUAUAAUAUGGACCCAAAUACUCAAUUACUUAAUAAAAUAUAUAUGAGAUAGGAAAAGAACAAUUUCAUUGAUUAAAGGAGAAUUUUUACAUAGCAUUGUUUUAAUUUGUCCCCUUCUUUGGCCACCUGGGGUUUUACAUCCCAGGAAUUAUACAUUUCUUUUAUAAAGUGGAGGAAAGGUAAUUGUGAAGUGGGGAAAGGAGCCAGCAUGAUAACUUGGCUACCAGCGUAUUCCCAGAAAGAUCAGUAUUAGGAAGAAUGAAGGUUGAGGAGCUAGAAAUUGGUUGUCUUAAAACGAUCUUAUCUUGCCUUAAAAUUACACAUUUCUUGGAAAGUCUUUGUAAAAACCCAAAUGUUCCUCAGUUUGAGGGCUACUGACAUAUGGGAAAGGUAAGAUAAAUUCAUUAUAUGUAUAAUUGUCAACACAACAAUAAAAAACCUAAAUUAAUGAAACCAAUGACUAGAUAUUAAAAUAAAAUAAAAGUCAACUUGAAUUUAAAUAUCAAAAGAGCACACUGUGUGCCUUGGCCUUAUAAAUUUCAUGGACCUCAGAUAAAGAAAAUUUCUCUGUGGAAUCAGGCAAUAGAUUGAGAUAUUUAUAAAAGGGAAAAUGAUGCUGGCCUUAGAUUUCACUUGAUGUAAGAAAAUAGAGCAUAAUUUUAAGAUUUGUUUUAGAAAAGAACAGGUAAUUUUUUAGACUUUUGUAUUUGUCUCAUCUUUCAAGUAUAAGUCAACAAAUAGUUGUGAACUAAAAAAAAAGUUUUUAAAGUAUUCCUUUGAGCCUUUAUGAGGAAAUACUAGAAGAUAGACUCUUCUCAACAUGGUUUUGCAAGGUAAAGAUUUGAAGUAGCCAAAACAUCUUCUGCCAGUGCUGAAAGCAUUUUUUUUCAUUUUUAGAUGAACUGUGGGUUCUGGUAACACUACCUAUGAGCAAAUGGACUGAUUUCUCAGGCCUUUGAGGUUCUCCAAAAUUAGAAAAGAGUCAUUCAGCUGUCUCAUCAUUAAUGGAAAGGACCUGAGCCAAGAGGCUGGAGAAGAGAAUCAACCACAUAGAAUAGAGUGCUGCAUUCAGGUUCAACUUCCUCAACCCAAAGAUGAAACACUAAGUUUUCAUACCAAUUUCUAAAGGUUAGUUCAUGAUGAAGUUGACAGAAUU